CCUACGGGAGGCAGCAGUGGGGAAUAUUGGACAAUGGGGGCAACCCUGAUCCAGCCAUGCCGCGUGUGUGAAGAAGGCCCUCGGGUUGUAAAGCACUUUCAGUGAGGAAGAACGCCUGGUGGUUAAUACCCAUCAGGAAAGACAUCACUCACAGAAGAAGCACCGGCUAACUCCGUGCCAGCAGCCGCGGUAAUACGGAGGGUGCGAGCGUUAAUCGGAAUUACUGGGCGUAAAGCGCGCGUAGGUGGCUUGAUAAGCCGGUUGUGAAAGCCCCGGGCUCAACCUGGGAACGGCAUCCGGAACUGUCAAGCUAGGGUGCAGGAGAGGAAGGUAGAAUUCCCGGUGUAGCGGUGAAAUGCGUAGAGAUCGGGAGGAAUACCAGUGGCGAAGGCGGCCUUCUGGACUGACACUGACACUGAGGUGCGAAAGCGUGGGUAGCAAACAGGAUUAGAUACCCCUGUAGUC
This 465-nucleotide ribosomal RNA is filed under the name Vreelandella stevensii. Its description in RNAcentral is "partial 16S ribosomal RNA". It matches the Rfam family "Bacterial small subunit ribosomal RNA", at positions 338 to 795 of the family's 1533-position model. The record is from RNAcentral. Lineage: Bacteria; Pseudomonadati; Pseudomonadota; Gammaproteobacteria; Oceanospirillales; Halomonadaceae.